RNAcentral lists this ribosomal RNA (460 nucleotides) under uncultured bacterium. RNAcentral describes it as "partial 16S ribosomal RNA". It matches the Rfam family "Bacterial small subunit ribosomal RNA", at positions 338 to 795 of the family's 1533-position model. The record is from RNAcentral.
CCUACGGGUGACAGCAGUGAGGAUUAUUGGUCAAUGGGCGCGAGCCUGACCCAGCCAAGUAGCGUGAAGGAUGACUGCCCUACGGGUUGUAAACUUCUUUUAUAAAGGAAUAAAGUGAUGCACGUGUGCCUUUUUGUAUGUACUUUAUGAAUAAGGAUCGGCUAACUCCGUGCCAGCAGCCGCGGUAAUACGGAGGAUCCGAGCGUUAUCCGGAUUUAUUGGGUUUAAAGGGAGCGUAGAUGGGUUGUUAAGUCAGUUGUGAAAGUUUGCGGCUCAACCGUAAAAUUGCAAGUGAUACUGGCAGUCUUGAGUACAGUGGAGGUAGGCGGAAUUCGUGGUGUAGCGGUGAAAUGCUUAGAUAUCACGAAGAACUCCGAUUGCGAAGGCAGUUCACUGGACUGCAACUGACACUGAGGCUCGAAAGUGUGGGUAUCAAACAGGAUUAGAUACCCGAGUAGUC